CUCGGCUGUGGGACAGCGCGGCCGCGCACAGCGAGCUCCCCGCAUCUGCCUGGGGGAUGUUGAGCCGCGGUGUCCCCGCACAUUAGGGUGAAGGGAGCGCUGCGGGGGGAGCGGGACGUGCGCGACUCCCAUUGCCAGAACAAUUAAUAUUCAGUAUUCUGAACAUCUUUGACUGCCACUGAGCUGUGAGAGAGGAGGAAACAGCCCCUCAUGGGAUCAUGCCUGGCACAAGAAGUAACAACAUAAAAGAGACAGCUAAGCUUCACAAACCUCCAAGCUACGAUGAACAAUGCAGCAGUCUCCUAGCCUUCCAUCCCAGCUGUGAAAAGUUGCAAGAUUUAUAUUCAAGCCCUCUGCUACUCCAGGAAAUCAAGAUGAUGAGUGUUGACAGUUGAUAGGAACACAUUUUAUGUCAGUGCAUGCAAGUGCUCAAGCACCCUGAGAAUACUAUUUGAUAACAAAAUCUGAGCUAAGACAACCCAAACCACGAAGGGAGUUCAGUUGACAACCACUCAGCCACUCACCAGAGGGAGCCCAUUUUCCCCAAAAGCCGGUAUUUGUAGUACAGCCAACCUGCUGGGUCCUCAGAACUACCCCGUUAAAAACUCUGCAGCUGCUGGGAGGAGUAGCUGCCAACUAAGGGAGGCACACGGACAUGCUGUGAACAGGAAAGGACAGAGUGUAAAGGGUUUUUGUAGCUGCUUGAUUAGUACUUUCUGCAGCACAAAAUGUUCUUUAUUGAAGAAGUUGCUGCAUUGGAGUUUCAAAUGGAAUGUGUCUGGGAGAAAACAGUUAUGUAUCUGCAGCAUGUCACUGACAGAGGUGAUUUUAUACUGUCCUAGAUACUGUGAGGCAGCACUCAGUAGAUGCCACAGCACAGACCUGAACUACUGAUAAGUAAAAAUCAAGCCCCAUUGAUUAUUGCCUUCCAUGGAAGGCAUAUUUGUUGGUGCAGUCACUUUUAAAAUUUCCCUUUCAGAUUUGCAAUAGUGAAGCCACACAUUUUUUGCCACUUGUCAGACUAAUUCAAUAGCAAAAUCCAAGCAACAAGAAUUUGAUCUGGUCUGUAUCUUCAGAAACAUGCUGAAUACAGCCAGCUGAUUUUUAUUUGAAGGUUAGAUUACAGAACUCAGGCUGGGUCUAUCACCUGUUUUUGGAAAGGUUCCACAUUAAUGGGGACUCACUGGUCCAUCAUAGAUAAUGAAUCUCAACACAGCACUGGCUAGACACCAGCCUACCAGAACUUCACUGUACCAAGUUAAUCUGAGGUUGAAACAAGAAGACAAAAUAAAGAUAUUGACAUACUCAAUUACAUUUGGGAAUGAGUAUGGAAUCUGGAAAUCCCUUUGUCAGGUGCAGACAGCUUUUUGGCUCAGAAGAGUUCUUAGUGUUAAGCACACACAAAAUGGUAAAAUAUUCCACAGGCAGUCUUUAAAAUAAAGAAUUCUGUUACAGA
Molecule: long non-coding RNA, 1456 nt
Organism: Melospiza melodia melodia
Lineage: Eukaryota; Metazoa; Chordata; Aves; Passeriformes; Passerellidae
Exons: 5
Source: RefSeq, a predicted model, not a curated record